GGCUCAGGAUGAACGCUGGCGGCGUGCCUAAUACAUGCAAGUCGAGCGAGAAUCAAUUGAACAGAGAUUCGUCAACGGGAUAUUGAGGAAAGCGGCGGACGGGUGAGUAACGCGUAGGCAACCUGCCCUUAGCAGAGGGAUAGCCAUUGGAAACGAUGAUUAAAACCUCAUAAUGCUGUUGGGACACAUGUCCCUGCAGCCAAAGAUUUAUCGGCUAAGGAUGGGCCUGCGUCUGAUUAACUAGUUGGUGAGGUAACGGCCCACCAAGGUGACGAUCAGUAGCCGACCUGAGAGGGUGAUCGGCCACAUUGGAACUGAGACACGGUCCAAACUUCUACGGAAGGCAGCAGUAAGGAAUCUUGCACAAUGGGGGAAACCCUGAUGCAGCAACGCCGCGUGAACGAUGAAGGCCUUAGGGUUGUAAAGUUCUGAUCUGUGGGAAGAAGAAGUGACGGUACCACAGGAGAAAGCCCCGGCUAAAUACGUG
RNAcentral lists this ribosomal RNA (487 nucleotides) under uncultured bacterium. RNAcentral's name for it is "bacterial SSU rRNA". It matches the Rfam family "Bacterial small subunit ribosomal RNA", at positions 21 to 507 of the family's 1533-position model. The record is from RNAcentral.